ACGGGAGGCAGCAGUAAGGAAUAUUGGUCAAUGGACGAAAGUCUGAACCAGCCAUGCCGCGUGCAGGAUGACUGCCCUAUGGGUUGUAAACUGCUUUUAUAUAGGAAGAAAAACUUUCUCGUGAGAAAGCUUGACGGUACUAUAAGAAUAAGGAUCGGCUAACUCCGUGCCAGCAGCCGCGGUAAUACGGAGGAUCCAAGCGUUAUCCGGAAUCAUUGGGUUUAAAGGGUCCGUAGGUGGACAAAUAAGUCAGAGGUGAAAUCCUGCAGCUCAACUGUAGAACUGCCUUUGAUACUGUUUGUCUUGAGUUAUUAUGAAGUGGUUAGAAUGUGUAGUGUAGCGGUGAAAUG
Molecule: ribosomal RNA, 350 nt
Filed under: uncultured bacterium
Lineage: Bacteria
Description: bacterial SSU rRNA
Rfam family: Bacterial small subunit ribosomal RNA
Source: RNAcentral